RNAcentral lists this ribosomal RNA (265 nucleotides) under uncultured bacterium. Its description in RNAcentral is "partial 16S ribosomal RNA". It matches the Rfam family "Bacterial small subunit ribosomal RNA", at positions 793 to 1055 of the family's 1533-position model. The record is from RNAcentral.
GUCCACGCCGUAAACGAUGUGUGCUAGACGUUGGGGAGCCUAGCUCUUCGGUGUCGCAGCUAACGCUUUAAGCACACCGCCUGGGGAGUACGGCCGCAAGGUUAAAACUCAAAGGAAUUGACGGGGCCCGCACAAGCGGUGGAGCAUGUGGUUUAAUUCGACGCAACGCGAAGAACCUUACCAGCCCUUGACAUGUCCGGUAUGGGUGGGGAGACCCCAUUCUUCAGUUCGGCUGGCCGGAACACAGGUGCUGCAUGGCUGUAGU